ACCUUCGUGGUGUAGUGGUCAGAACGCUCAACGCGUAAUCGAGAGGUCCGUGGUUCGAUUCCCGGCGAAGGCG
Stegodyphus mimosarum is the source of this 73-nucleotide non-coding RNA. The record is from Rfam. NCBI's taxonomy places the organism in Eukaryota, Metazoa, Arthropoda, Arachnida, Araneae, Eresidae.